UAAUACGUAGGGUGCAAGCGUUGUCCGGAAUUAUUGGGCGUAAAGAGCUCGUAGGCGGUUUGUCGCGUCUGCUGUGAAAUCCCGAGGCUCAACCUCGGGCCUGCAGUGGGUACGGGCAAACUAGAGUGUGGUAGGGGAGAUUGGAACUCCUGGUGUAGCGGUGGAAUGCGCAGAUAUCAGGAAGAACACCGAUGGCGAAGGCAGAUCUCUGGGCCAUUACUGACGCUGAGGAGCGAAAGCGUGGGAGCGAACAGGAUUAGAUACCCUGGUAGUCCACGCCGUAAACGUUGGGAACUAGAUGUAGGGUCCAUUCCACGGAUUCUGUGUCGCAGCUAACGCAUUAAGUUCCCCGCCUGGGGAGUACGGCCGCAAGGCUAAAACUCAAAGGAAUUGACGGGGGCCCGCACAAGCGGCGGAGCAUGCGGAUUAAUUCGAUGCAACGCGAAGAACCUUACCAAGGCUUGACAUAUACCGGAAAAGCGUAGAAAUACGCUCCCCGCAAGGUCGGUAUACA
RNAcentral lists this ribosomal RNA (514 nucleotides) under uncultured Mycetocola sp. RNAcentral's name for it is "bacterial SSU rRNA". It matches the Rfam family "Bacterial small subunit ribosomal RNA", at positions 521 to 1036 of the family's 1533-position model. The record is from RNAcentral. Lineage: Bacteria; Bacillati; Actinomycetota; Actinomycetes; Micrococcales; Microbacteriaceae.